AAUAAUAUUGUGUCGUAGGUACCUACUAAAUAUACGUUCGUAUAUUCGAUACCUACUGACUAAUUACCUACUCGAAUAAGCAGGUAAUCGGAUACGGAGAAUGCACUGGUGUAAUCGUAAUAAAGCUAAUUACUUACCUCGGCUAGGGCUUUUAGUACACUACCGAACACAAUACAAUAUCAUACGCAAAGUUCGUGUAAACGAAUGUAUUAUGGUCAAAAAUGACACAAUAUACUUAAACCGACUCGGAGAAAUAGGGAAAACAAUACAAUAUUUAUCAGAGGGGGAAAAUUACGUUAACACUACUGAAUUAUUACUAAAUUAUAAAAUAUACAAGAACACUUUAAACCUAGGGCCGGAGCUCUAAAGAAUUAAGGACAUAUUAUCUUGGCAACUCGCUUGCUUCACGAAAACGAACUACAAGUUGGUCCAGUUGCCAAAGAAGCUGGAAGGCUCAUUUGACACCUUGACCACUCAUUGUUACCAACCACAUCACCGAACGGUGCUGGAAGGGUUAAAUUACCUGUUUAUACACAUACGUGUUACCAUUAAGGCAUAUCCGUCUAACAUAUGCCCUCCGAGGUUUACUCAGCUAUGACUCAGCGAGCUAAGUUCCCAGCAGAGGAAAUCACGGUGUGAGACAUAGACAUGACUUAAUGAUAACACUGUCCGUACGGACCCUGCUGCCCCCCAUGAGUUUCUCGGAUGAGAAAUUGGUGAGCAGAGAAGAAAGAAGAAAAUUCUCAAAUUUGGAACCACAGCGCACCCUAGGAGUUGAAGCAGGCGCGUACGUGACCCACUGAGCCACCAGAGAUCGAUCACUCGAAAUACAAUGUACUCAACAAAUACACGUAACUACCUAGCUCUAGCCUAGGAUACACGACAUCGAAAAAGUUGCCAGUUAGCAAUAAUAAGAUCCUUUUUUGUUUCAGAUAUCCGUCCAAAAAGGUGAGAAUAUGGAUCGAUUGAAGAUAAGCCGCCUGAGCUCUGAACGAUGAAGCGAAUAAGAGCUACGUACGUAGCUGCGAGUUCGAUGUCCAAGUCAACAUGUCCAAAACAGGUUUAUGGGUCAUUAACGCCUCCGAGCCGGUUUGUAUUUACGUUCGUAUUCAUUCUUACGAUUAAGUGCAACGUUUAGGAAGAAAAAAUGUGCAAAUUAUAGAAUAAGUUUGUACUUUUAUUCGAUGUAUAGGUUACAACAUGCAUUGUAAAUACUGAUUAUUGUUUAUUGAUAAAAUAAAGAAUAAAUACCCAAAA
This is a long non-coding RNA of Planococcus citri (citrus mealybug), 1257 nucleotides long. RefSeq lists it as uncharacterized. Lineage: Eukaryota; Metazoa; Arthropoda; Insecta; Hemiptera; Pseudococcidae. The transcript has 2 exons. The record is from RefSeq and is a predicted model, not a curated record.